This 431-nucleotide long non-coding RNA is filed under the name Lathyrus oleraceus (garden pea). Its description in RNAcentral is "Pisum sativum (pea) long non-coding RNA (PSAT_LNC007399)". The record is from RNAcentral. Lineage: Eukaryota; Viridiplantae; Streptophyta; Magnoliopsida; Fabales; Fabaceae.
UUAGAUCAACCCUGACUAAUUAAGUUGUACACUUGUUUAGUUAGAAAUACAGUUAUAAUAUAAUAUAUUUUAUAUAACAUUACAUAUAGAUUUGGAAGAAUACGUUGUUUAAUUAUUAUGACUACUCUACCCAAAAAAGAAAACAUAAAUCAAGAAUAAUCGAACAUAUCUCUUGUAUCUUCACCAUCGUCUUCAUUGCAAUAUGAAUAGCAGGAAAAAAUUCUUGACCAUCUCCUUCAUUGCAAUAUGAGUAUCUUUGCAAUAUGAAUAGCAGGAAAAAAUUCUUGAUCAUCUCCUUCAUUGCAAUAUGAAUAUCUUCACCAUCGUCUUCAUUGCAAUAUGAGUAACAGGUGGGAUUAUAGAUCACCAUGUUUGGAUUGGUUAUACGGGGUAUGCUUUGGUAUUUCUGAUAGAUUAAGAGUAUGAUUGUC